Molecule: ribosomal RNA, 427 nt
Filed under: Pagrus major (red seabream)
Lineage: Eukaryota; Metazoa; Chordata; Actinopteri; Spariformes; Sparidae
Description: partial 16S ribosomal RNA
Rfam family: Bacterial large subunit ribosomal RNA
Source: RNAcentral
UUUGAAUGGCAUCACGAGGGCUUAACUGUCUCCCCUCCCCAGUCAAUGAAAUUGAUCUCCCCGUGCAGAAGCGGGGAUAAUACCAUAAGACGAGAAGACCCUAUGGAGCUUUAGACGUCAGAGCAGCCCAUGUAAAGCACCCCUUAACAAAGGAAAAAACCAAAUGAAGCCUGCCCUAAUGUCUUUGGUUGGGGCGACCGCGGGGAAAUACAAAACCCCCAUGUGGAGUAGGAAUACACAUUCCUAAACCCAAGAGCUCCCGCUCUAAUGAACAGAAAUUCUGACCAAUAAGAUCCGGCACACGCCGAUCAACGGACCGAGUUACCCUAGGGAUAACAGCGCAAUCCCCUUAAAGAGCCCUUAUCGACAAGGGGGUUUACGACCUCGAUGUUGGAUCAGGACAUCCUAAUGGUGCAGCCGCUAUUAA